GACGAACGCUGGCGGCGUGCUUAACACAUGCAAGUCGAACGGAAAGGCCCUGCUUUUGUGGGGUGCUCGAGUGGCGAACGGGUGAGUAACACGUGAGUAACCUGCCCUUGACUUUGGGAUAACUUCAGGAAACUGGGGCUAAUACCGGAUAGGAGCUCCUGCUGCAUGGUGGGGGUUGGAAAGUUUCGGCGGUUGGGGAUGGACUCGCGGCUUAUCAGCUUGUUGGUGGGGUAGUGGCUUACCAAGGCUUUGACGGGUAGCCGGCCUGAGAGGGUGACCGGCCACAUUGGGACUGAGAUACGGCCCAGACUCCUACGGGAGGCAGCAGUGGGGAAUAUUGCACAAGGGGCGGAAGCCUGAUGCAGCAACGCCGCGUGCGGGAUAACGGCCUUCGGGUUGUAAACCGCUUUCGCCUGUGACGAAGCGUGAGUGACGGUAAUGGGUAAAGAAGCACCGGCUAACUACGUG
RNAcentral lists this ribosomal RNA (468 nucleotides) under uncultured bacterium. RNAcentral describes it as "partial 16S ribosomal RNA". It matches the Rfam family "Bacterial small subunit ribosomal RNA", at positions 28 to 507 of the family's 1533-position model. The record is from RNAcentral.